This 448-nucleotide ribosomal RNA is filed under the name uncultured bacterium. RNAcentral describes it as "partial 16S ribosomal RNA". It matches the Rfam family "Bacterial small subunit ribosomal RNA", at positions 328 to 792 of the family's 1533-position model. The record is from RNAcentral.
CAUCCAGACUCCUACGGGAGGCAGCAGUGGGGGAUAUUGCACAAUGGGGGGAACCCUGAUGCAGCGACGCCGCGUGGGUGAAGGAGUAUUUCGGUAUGUAAAGCCCUAUCGGCAGGGAAGAAGCAAGACGGUACCUGACUAAGAAGCCCCGGCUAACUACGUGCCAGCAGCCGCGGUAAUACGUAGGGGGCGAGCGUUAUCCGGAUUCACUGGGUGUAAAGGGAGCGUAGACGGCCAAGCAAGCCAGGGGGGAAAGCCCGGGGCCCAACCCCGGGACUGCCCUUGGAACUGCUUGGCUGGAGUGCGGGAGGGGCAGGCGGAAUUCCUGGUGUAGCGGUGAAAUGCGCAGAUAUCAGGAAGAACACCGGUGGCGUAGGCGGCUUACUGGACGGCAACUGACGCUGAGGCUCGAAAGCGUGGGGAGCAAACAGGAUUAGAUACCCCGGUA